Molecule: long non-coding RNA, 1788 nt
Filed under: Marmota monax (woodchuck)
Lineage: Eukaryota; Metazoa; Chordata; Mammalia; Rodentia; Sciuridae
Source: RNAcentral
GAGAAUGGGUUGAGGGUAGGAAUAAUGAUGCAGAAACAGAGGCAUGGUCAGUCCACAUACCCAUUUGGACUAAGAGACUCUAAUGCCCAUUAAAAAAAAUGUAAAAUCACUUUUUCUUGAUUUCCAAUAGCAAAAUAGGUAUCCCGACCACAAAUCCACACUGUGACAUUCAAUCUUCUAUUUUAUUUGCAUAUGGUGUGAAUUUUUGUAAGUACAUUUCUUUUCAUGUUCAGAAAGUUGUUUUGAUUUUUCUCCUCUCUGUUUUGCAGGACUAUGUUACCCUCUAAGGAAGCAUUACCUCCUAGCAGAGGAGGUUUGCUAUUAAAUGAAGUCAGUGCACAUUUCUGGGACAGUCAACAGAGUUGCAGGAAGCUGAUGGUUUUCAUGGGGUCUAGAUGAGAAAGAAGGAGCAUAUUGAUGAUAAAAUCAUCUUUGUUGGAUAUGUGUUGAAGCUCAGAAAUUGUACUCUGAAAUAUGGCAUUUGGGGCAGGCUGAGUACUUUGAACUAAACAAGAAUAAAGUUCUCUUUGACGUCCUGUCCUCUUGUCACCAAAGACUUUGUCACAGACUGGCACCUAUUCUCCUGAGCGGUUCUCAGUGGAAACUCUCACUACCUGGCAUUUUAUCUGCAACAAGACAACCUUGAUCCACCAUACAUCUUCUUUCUUCACUGCCCAUAACUUGUGGCCCCUUAUCACAGCCGCCCUUAUUUCUUUCUGUAGCUCAAGAUGGUAUGAAAACUCUGAUCAUUUGGCCCUUCUUCUAGUCAUAUCUUAUGGAACUCCUAUUCAUAAACAUGUAAUGAAAGUAAUUUCCUUCUGUUAAUCUAUGUCAGUCUAUUUUAUAGACUUGAUUACCAAAUCUUCAGAGGGUUAAAAUAAAUUUUUCCUCUCCUAAUCAAAUGAAGUUGCAAAAUAAAGAAGCCUACGAAAAAGGUUUACAAGCAUCUACCUUCAUUUAUUAGUGAAAGCAAGUGAUUAUGACUAUAAAACUAUAGGGGAGAAACAACUUCUUCCAAAUAUGAAGGAGUAGCUAGAAUAAAACUAACCUUCUGACUAUAAAACAACAAAAGAACACAAAAAAUAUGCAUUAUGCAAUUGUUUUCAGGAAUGAAGAUAACGGUUCAGAAUUUAUGAAGCCUCAGAGAAUGGUGGCUAAGGAGUCAGGUCAUAAAAUUAGCCAAGCUUUCCUCCUGCAGGCAGGUUUUGGAUUACGAUCCAAGGAAAGAACUCAAAAUAGAGCAGAAUGAUAUAAAUUGAUAAAAAAAAAAUGAAAUUUGGAGAGGCAAUGGUUGCUGGAAUUUGCAGUACAACUUACUGGGAGAUUGACCUAUGCACAGAAAGAAUCCCAGAGAUUUUCAAGAAUUUCCCUUGAGUCACUGGCUAAAUACUAAUUAGGGAAAAUUUAGGGUAAGAGUCCAUAAGGCUAUAAAAAGAGUGAUUGCCAGAGAACUAUAAGAUGAAAACUUCCCAAGGUCAUAUAGUUUUGGGAAGUACUUGAGUUCUAACUGUAUAAGACAGAAAGAGAAGGAAGGGAAGGAAAAGGAGAAGUUUGUUAACUUCUAAGAAGAGCAGAAAGUUUUCAUACUUAAAUUUUAAUAUAAAUUAAUACUUCCAGAGAUAAUACUUCAUUGUUUAGCUGUAUUAGUCAAAUGAGUGUAUUUGGAAACUGUUUGUAAAGCCAGAUUUGAAAUAAAAAUAUGUGUUUUGGCAAUUGAUACAAUUGGACCACACUUAUUUGUAAUACAUACUCUCACGUUUGCCAAGUUAUCUCAUAGUACAUGAUGUA